UCAUUUGGAUGAAUGUGCGAGCAUCUGCAAGAGCUGAGAGAAACAAAUGAGGCUAUAUCUCCAUGUACUGUUCACAUAUGGCUUCAUGUUCACCUUAUAUGGUUCUGGAAAGACUUCCUUGGACUCAUACUUUUGCACAGGUGCCCAAAAUACGGCCUUGAACUCCAACUUCUGCCCAGUGAAUUCGAGCUCGGCAAACGGCUGUGUGAAAACCGAAUGGGACUCUAACAUAUGCACAGGUG
This is a long non-coding RNA of Rhipicephalus microplus (southern cattle tick), 242 nucleotides long. Lineage: Eukaryota; Metazoa; Arthropoda; Arachnida; Ixodida; Ixodidae. The record is from RefSeq and is a predicted model, not a curated record.